UACAGGGGGGGCAAGCGUUGUUCGGAAUUACUGGGCGUAAAGGGCGCGUAGGCGGCCUUCUAAGUCGAACGUGAAAUCCCCGGGCUCAACCCGGGAACUGCGUCCGAUACUGGAAGGCUUGAAUCCGGGAGAGGGAUGCGGAAUUCCAGGUGUAGCGGUGAAAUGCGUAGAUAUCUGGAGGAACACCGGUGGCGAAGGCGGCAUCCUGGACCGGUAUUGACGCUGAGGCGCGAAAGCCAGGGGAGCAAACGGG
RNAcentral lists this ribosomal RNA (253 nucleotides) under uncultured bacterium. RNAcentral describes it as "partial 16S ribosomal RNA". It matches the Rfam family "Bacterial small subunit ribosomal RNA", at positions 524 to 776 of the family's 1533-position model. The record is from RNAcentral.